GCUUAGUCAUAAAAUAUUUACUUACACCUUUUAACGCCAGGGUAUUACGAGCCUCAGCUUAAAACCCAAAGGACUUGACGGUGUCCCACCCAUCUAGAGGAGCCUGUUCUAUAAUCGAUACCCCCCGCUAUACCCUACCACUUUUAGCCUAUCAGCCUGUAUACCUCCGUCGUAAGUUUACCGUGUGAACGUCUAUAGUGAGCUAAAUGACUUUUCGCCAAUACGUCAGGUCAAGGUGCAGCCCAUGAAGUGGCAAGCAAUGGGCUACAAUUUCUAACCUAGAACAAACGGAUGAACUGUAAUGAAACAGUUUAGAAGGAGGAUUUAGUAGUAAAAAGAAAACAUAAGUGUUCUUUUUAAUUUGGCACUGGGACGUGUACACACCGCCCGUCAUCCUCUUCACAGCAAACUUAUGUCUUUGACUAAUUUACACCCUAGAAGAGGCAAGUCGUAACACGGUAAGUAUACUGGAAAGUGUGCUUGGAAUAACAAAAUGUAGUUUAACUAAACCCCCUCGCUUACACCGAGGUAAUAUCUAUUUAACCCAGAUCAUUUUGAGCCUUAACCUUAGCCCUUCUUCCCCCCAUGACUUCGCACAUUAUCUUUUUCUCUUAAAACAUUUUAUUCGCUUUAGUAAGGGUGACUAAAAAACCAAUAGGCGCUUUAAAUUAAGUACCGCAAGGGAAUGAUGAAAUAAAAAUGAAAUAAUUUAUCAAGCACAAAAUAGCAAAGACUCAAACUUG
RNAcentral lists this unclassified non-coding RNA (743 nucleotides) under Petropedetes parkeri (Parker's water frog). RNAcentral describes it as "partial contains 12S ribosomal RNA, tRNA-Val and 16S ribosomal RNA". The stretch from base 1 to 496 matches the Rfam family "Bacterial small subunit ribosomal RNA", at positions 794 to 1533 of the family's 1533-position model. Lineage: Eukaryota; Metazoa; Chordata; Amphibia; Anura; Petropedetidae. The record is from RNAcentral.